GACGAACGCUGGCGGCGUGCUUAACACAUGCAAGUCGAACGGAAAGGCCCUGCUUUUGUGGGGUGCUCGAGUGGCGAACGGGUGAGUAACACGUGAGUAACCUGCCCUUGACUUUGGGAUAACUUCAGGAAACUGGGGCUAAUACCGGAUAGGAGCUCCUGCUGCAUGGUGGGGGUUGGAAAGUUUCGGCGGUUGGGGAUGGACUCGCGGCUUAUCAGCUUGUUGGUGGGGUAGUGGCUUACCAAGGCUUUGACGGGUAGCCGGCCUGAGAGGGUGACCGGCCACAUUGGGCCUGAGAUACGGCCCAGACUCCUACGGGAGGCAGCGGUGGGAAUAUUGCACAAUGGGCGGAAGCCUGAUGCAGCAACGCCGCGUGCGGGAUGACGGCCUUCGGGUUGUAAACCGCUUUCGCCUGUGACGAAGCGUGAGUGACGGUAAUGGGUAAAGAAGCACCGGCUAACUACGUG
RNAcentral lists this ribosomal RNA (467 nucleotides) under uncultured bacterium. RNAcentral's name for it is "partial 16S ribosomal RNA". It matches the Rfam family "Bacterial small subunit ribosomal RNA", at positions 28 to 507 of the family's 1533-position model. The record is from RNAcentral.